This 449-nucleotide ribosomal RNA is filed under the name uncultured bacterium. RNAcentral's name for it is "bacterial SSU rRNA". It matches the Rfam family "Bacterial small subunit ribosomal RNA", at positions 29 to 521 of the family's 1533-position model. The record is from RNAcentral.
AACGAACGCUGGCGGCAGGCUUAACACAUGCAAGUCGAACGGUUGUAGCAAUACAGCAGUGGCAGACGGGUGAGUAACACGUGGGAACCUUCCUCGGGGUACGGAACAACUCAGGGAAACUUGAGCUAAUACCGUAUACGUCCGUGAGGAGAAAGAUUUAUCGCCCUGAGACGGGCCCGCGUCGGAUUAGCUAGUUGGUGGGGUAACGGCCUACCAAGGCGACGAUCCGUAGCUGAUCUUAGAGGANGAUCAGCCACACUGGGACUGAGACACGGCCCAGACUCCUACGGGAGGCAGCAGUGGGGAAUCUUGGACAAUGGGCGCAAGCCUGAUCCAGCCAUGCCGCGUGAGUGAUGAAGGCCCUAGGGUUGUAAAGCUCUUUUGUGCGGGAAGAUAAUGACGGUACCGCAAGAAUAAGCCCCGGCUAACUUCGUGCCAGCCGCCGCGGU